Molecule: long non-coding RNA, 226 nt
Filed under: Elaeis guineensis (African oil palm)
Lineage: Eukaryota; Viridiplantae; Streptophyta; Magnoliopsida; Arecales; Arecaceae
Description: long non-coding RNA (EGUI_LNC003307)
Source: RNAcentral
ACAAUCAAUAUGUAGAGCCCACUUGCCAGUGUACUAACCUAAACAUAUGGUUGGCUUGUGAGAUGUGAGGCCCACUACUUGGAUCUUGCACAGACCAUAUCCAUGUUUGGUAAACAAUAAUAUCUUGAAUGCAUUAAGUACUGCAUGUCUCACAAAGAACAGCCUACCGUGAAAGCCUCAUUGUAGCAGCCUACGCCAGUGAUGGACACCCAUCAAAGACCACCCC